GAUGAAGAACGUAGCGAAAUGCGAUACGUAAUGUGAAUUGCAGAAUUCAGUGAAUCAUCGAGUCUUUGAACGCACAUUGCGCCCCCUGGUAUUCCGGGGGGCAUGCCUGUCCGAGCGUCAUUGCUGCCCUCAAGCACGGCUUGUGUGUUGGGCCUCCGUCCUCCUCCCGGGGGACGGGCCCGAAAGGCAGCGGCGGCACCGCGACCGGUCCUCGAGCGUAUGGGGCUUCGUCACCCGCUCUUGUAGGCCCGGCCGGCGCUUGCCGACACAUCAAUCUUUUUUCCAGGUUGACCUCGGAUCAGGUAGGGAUACCCGCUGAACUUAAGCAUAUCAAUAAGCGGAGGA
RNAcentral lists this unclassified non-coding RNA (345 nucleotides) under soil metagenome. Its description in RNAcentral is "partial contains 5.8S ribosomal RNA, internal transcribed spacer 2, and large subunit ribosomal RNA". The stretch from base 1 to 120 matches the Rfam family "5.8S ribosomal RNA", at positions 35 to 154 of the family's 154-position model. The record is from RNAcentral.